AUGGUUCACCCUAAAUUGGUUCAGCAUGAUCCCUGUACUUAAAAUAAGUGAAGUUCUCAUUUUUGACAAUUAGGUUUUUAUUAGUCUGAAAUCCAUUGGGGGAAAUAAGCAUAGUGCUGGUUUACAAUGAGCAUUUUUUUCACCCUAUGAAGCAUUAUUAUCUCUGCAGCUGUUUCAUGACAGAAGCGUCAGCUGCUCAUGACGUCCACCGUCGUAAAGCAGACGUCCAGCCUUCACUUUGACUCCCCACAGAAGCCUUUUUUCCUUUCCACAGAUCCUACUGGUGGCACCAUGGUCGGGUUUUCCACCUCACCCUCAUCUGCCAUUGCGUUAUUUUUUAACAUCUGUGUCAUUAUUGUUAUCAUUGCUGCAGCAGAGGCGCAGACACCAACUCCGGCUGCAGAUCCUUGCAGCCUGAAAUCCAACAGUAGCUGCAAUGAAUGUUUGCAGAAUGUGGCUUGCUUGUGGUGCUCUUCGACCCAACAGUGCAUUGACUACCCGGUGAAGAACAUCCUGCCCCCCAGCAGUGUUUGCCCCCUGAGUGACGCACGAUGGGGGGUUUGUUGGGUCAACUUCCAGAUAUUGAUCAUCACAAUGUCUGUGCUGGCUGGAGUCAUCAUCAUCGCCAUUCUCAUCUGCUGCUUCUGCUGCUGCAAGUGUGAGCGGAUUGGAAACAAAAGAGAAGAUGCGCAGGUGGAGAGACAGACCCGAGCGAGGAAGGCCCGUCAGAAAGCCAGGUGAAUGGCUGUUGAGAAAACAGAGAUCCAGCUGAGGCAUGAUGAAAUCAGGCAGAAAUACGGUAUAGCAAAGGAAAAUCCAUACGCUCGCAUGGAUGAUCAUUAGGAGGACUGUCAGCGAAGAGGAUCUUUUGAUGCCAGUAACAAUGCGAUACAGCCAUACCAGUAUCUGUUGACAAACUGUGAUCUCCUGGAUUAAUUUCAGCAUGACAGCAUUAAAAACAAAAAUCUUCUCUUUUCUUAAUGUUUGUUUCACAAAUAAAUGAUCUCUAAUAUGAUUAAAAGGAUUGUUUAACUAAUAUGGUUUUCUGGGCACAUGUAAAACAAGCUGUAAGAAAAAACAUGUUGAGGCACAAUGUUGUCAUCCAAGAUAAGCUAAAACAUUCAUGUUGAAGGAUUUUACACAAAAUGCAGUAUUGUAACUUCUGACACGGUCCACCAUUGUUCACAGGUUUCAAAACCUUCACUUUCAUUCUGCAUCAGCACUGCUGCCGUCUGCUGGGCCCCUAACAGGUUUUUAUUUGUCUGGAUUACUACCCUUACUAGAUAAGUUUUAAAAUGAAUACAGGGCAUCAUUGUCCUUUAAUCACAUGUGAAUCAGAUCUUUGUGCAGGUAAUCAUAAAUAAGAAAAUAAAAAGAAUAAACAAUU
Molecule: RNA transcript, 1387 nt
Organism: Girardinichthys multiradiatus
Lineage: Eukaryota; Metazoa; Chordata; Actinopteri; Cyprinodontiformes; Goodeidae
Gene: pttg1ipb
Gene name: PTTG1 interacting protein b
Exons: 7
Source: RefSeq, a predicted model, not a curated record